GGGUAAGUAGAGUGGCAAACGGGUGAGUAACACGUGGGUGACCUGCCUUCGAGUGGGGGAUAACGUCCCGAAAGGGACGCUAAUACCGCAUGACAUCCUGCGUUUGGAAACGCGGAGAUCAAAGCCGGGGAUCGCAAGACCUGGCGCUUGAAGAGGGGCCCGCGCCUGAUUAGCUAGUUGGUGGGGUAACGGCCUACCAAGGCGACGAUCAGUAUCCGGCCUGAGAGGGCGGACGGACACACUGGGACUGAGACACGGCCCAGACUCCUACGGGAGGCAGCAGUGGGGAAUUGUUCGCAAUGGGCGCAAGCCUGACGACGCAACGCCGCGUGGAGGACGAAGAUCUUCGGGUCGUAAACUCCUGUCGAGCGGGAAGAACGCUUCCCGGGUGAAUAAUCCGGGGAGGUGACGGUACCGCUAAAGGAAGCCCCGGCUAACUCCGUGCCAGCAGCCGCGGUAAUACGGGGGGGGCAAGCGUUGUUCGGAAUUACUGGGCGUAAAGGGCUCGUAGGCGGCCAACUAAGUCGGAUGUGAAAUCCCCAGGCUUAACCUGGGAACUGCAUCCGAUACUGGAUGGCUUGAAUCCGGGAGAGGGAUGCAGAAUUCCAGGUGUAGCGGUGAAAUGCGUAGAUAUCUGGAGGAAUACCGGUGGCGAAGGCGGCAUCCUGGACCGGCAUUGACGCUGAGUGAGCGAAAGCCAGGGGAGCAAACGGGAUUAGAUACCCCGGUAGUCCUGGCCCUAAACGAUGAAUGCUUGGUGUGGCGGGUAUCGAUCCCUGCCGUGCCGAAGCUAACGCAUUAAGCAUUCCGCCUGGGGA
RNAcentral lists this ribosomal RNA (818 nucleotides) under uncultured Acidobacteriota bacterium. RNAcentral describes it as "bacterial SSU rRNA". It matches the Rfam family "Bacterial small subunit ribosomal RNA", at positions 84 to 879 of the family's 1533-position model. The record is from RNAcentral. Lineage: Bacteria; Pseudomonadati; Acidobacteriota.